GGUCCCUUAGCUCAGCUGGAUAGAGCAACUGACUUCUAAUCAGUAGGUCGGAGGUUCGAAUCCUCCAGGGAUCGCCA
This 77-nucleotide transfer RNA is filed under the name Pseudomonadota bacterium. RNAcentral's name for it is "Proteobacteria bacterium tRNA-Arg". It matches the Rfam family "tRNA". From Rfam's summary of the family: Transfer RNA (tRNA) molecules are approximately 80 nucleotides in length. Their secondary structure includes four short double-helical elements and three loops (D, anti-codon, and T loops). Further hydrogen bonds mediate the characteristic L-shaped molecular structure. tRNAs have two regions of fundamental functional importance: the anti-codon, which is responsible for specific mRNA codon recognition, and the 3' end, to which the tRNAs corresponding amino acid is attached (by aminoacyl-tRNA synthetases). tRNAs cope with the degeneracy of the genetic code in two manners: having more than one tRNA (with a specific anti-codon) for a particular amino acid; and 'wobble' base-pairing, i.e. permitting non-standard base-pairing at the 3rd anti-codon position. The record is from RNAcentral. Lineage: Bacteria; Pseudomonadati; Pseudomonadota.